AAGACCUUGCGCUUUUGGAGCGGCCGAUGUCUGAUUAGCUUGUUGGUGAGGUAAAGGCUUACCAAGGCUUCGAUCAGUAGCUGGCCUGAGAGGACGGCCAGCCACACUGGGACUGAGACACGGCCCAGACUCCUACGGGAGGCAGCAGUGGGGAAUUUUGGACAAUGGGGGCAACCCUGAUCCAGCCAUGCCGCGUGAGUGAAGAAGGCCUUCGGGUUGUAAAGCUCUUUCAGCCGGAACGAAACGGUUACGGUUAAUACCCGUGACUACUGACGGUACCGGAAGAAGAAGCACCGGCUAACUACGUGCCAGCAGCCGCGGUAAUACGUAGGGUGCAAGCGUUAAUCGGAAUUACUGGGCGUAAAGCGUGCGCAGGUGGUUUUGUAAGUCAGACGUGAAAUCCCCGGGCUUAACCUGGGAACU
RNAcentral lists this ribosomal RNA (423 nucleotides) under uncultured bacterium. RNAcentral describes it as "bacterial SSU rRNA". It matches the Rfam family "Bacterial small subunit ribosomal RNA", at positions 207 to 622 of the family's 1533-position model. The record is from RNAcentral.